GCUGUACUUCCUCCGUCCUAAAAUUCUUGUCUUAUAUUUGUCUAAAUAUGGAUGUAUCAAGUCACAUUUUAGUAUUAGAUACAUCUGUAUCUAGACUAAUCUAAGACAAGAAUUUUGGGAUGGAGGGAAUAACAU
This is a non-coding RNA of Triticum aestivum (bread wheat), 135 nucleotides long. The record is from Rfam. Lineage: Eukaryota; Viridiplantae; Streptophyta; Magnoliopsida; Poales; Poaceae.